ACAACUAAAACAACGAAGACACAAGUUCAAGUCUCAGUGCGGCGAAGCGAGAGGAGUCGAACAGUCUCUGUUUACUAAAAUGGCAAAAGUAGAUUUAUACGCCGAAUAUAAAGGGGUUUAUGUGCCAGUGCAUUUGCACACUCCCGACAGCCUGAAAUAUUAUGAGGAUUUCACUUUCCGAUCAGAUGACAUCCUUAUCAUCACCUAUCCUAAAUCAGGCACAACAUGGAUGCAGGAGAUCAUUCCUCUGAUCUGCAGUGAGGGAGAUCUCACUCCAGUGCGCACUAUACCAAACUGGGACCGGGUUCCAUGGCUGGAAGAACACAGGGCCAAAAUACUCAAUCUGGAGCAGAGGCCUUCUCCACGCAUCUUUGCGACCCACUUCCAUCGUGGCAUGAUGAACAAGUCCUAUUUUGCAGUCAAGCCAAAAGUUGUUUAUGUAAUACGAAACCCGAAAGACGUGUUUACAUCCUCCUUCUACUACUAUGGAAUGGCUUCAUAUCUGGUCAAUCCUGGCACUGUUGAUGAGUUUCUGGAAGAGUUUCUGAAAGGCAAAAUAAUGUUUGGUUCGUGGUUUGACCAUGUGAAGGGCUGGCUCAAUGCAAAAGACCAUGAUCACAUUUUCUUCAUUUCAUAUGAGGAAAUGAUACAAGAUUUGAAAGGCUCUGUGACGAAAAUUGCCCAGUUUCUUGAAAAGCCUCUGAGCCCAGAAGUGAUUGAGAAGAUAGCUGAGAAUUGUCAAUUCAAGAACAUGAAGCAGAACAAGAUGUCCAACUAUUCUCUGGUUCCAGAAGAGUUCAUGGAUCAAAAGAAAUCUGAGUUUCUCAGGAAAGGAAUCACUGAUGACUGGAAGAACCUUCUUACUGAGGCCCAGACUGAGAAAUUUAAUGCUAUUUACAAAGAGAAAAUGAAAGACGUUGGUUUCAAAUUUGUUUGGGAUUGAACUGGGGGUGGGGGGGAGGGGUGUUAGACCAAAAAUUUUUUUCUACCCCCUCCAAAAUAUGGAGAUGAUCUAUCUAAGUAUGGAAAUACCAAUAUUUGGCCAACUGAAAAAUGCUAACCCCCCUGUACAUACCCUCUGAAGUUAAUAACCCCUCCAGAUGUUGGAAGCAUCCCAGAAGGGAACUCAGCCUGUUCUAUGUACUCUACUACACCUAGUAUCUUCUUAGCUUUUGACCGUGUUGCAACAGAAGCCAUUAUUUACCUGCAAGAAUACAAAUAAUGACUAUUUAAUACAUUGGGAGACAUAAUUCAGAUAUGAAUCAUUUGUGCAUACUGGUUCUUAAAACUAAAUUAGUAACCUUAAGUAAUGAUCCUCUGUGCUUAAAAAUAGUUAAUAUUUGAGGUAUUACUGAAGAGUGUGACAUUCAUCAAUAACUUUAAAACUUGCUGAAAAAGAGCAGAAUUACCAUAUGUUUAAUUUACUUGAAUGUAAGGUUACUUACCACUAAGCUUAUUACCUUAAAAUAAUGAUCAUCUGCACUGAAAAUGUUGUAGUUGUACCUACAGUAGUGGCAUACCUGAAGAGGUUCACAUUCAUCGAUAACUUUAAAACACAUUAAAAAAAGCAGCAUUCUAAUAUCAAACAGCACUGUAAUGUAUUUUGUCAUAUUGUAAGAAUGGAAACUUUCAGAGGGUAUGUACAGGGGGGAUAGCAAGGUUCAAUUUAAUAAAAUUUGACAUUUUCCCACAUAGAUGGACCAUCUCCAUAUUUCUAGGGGGGUAAAACAUGGAAAAGUCAAAAUUCUUAAAAUAACAACCCCCCCAAUUGAACAAACUCAUCACUGAGAAUAAUUAAGUGAUUUGAAUUUGUACUGAAUUUGUUUAAUCAGCUGAUCCCUUGACAGCAGCACAAUGUAUAAAAUCAUGCAGAUACAAAUCAAGAGCUUCAGUUAAUGUUCACUUCAAACAUCAGAAUGAGAAAAAUUGUGAUCUCAAAGUGUUACUUUCACUCGCGCAUGGGUGUUGGUGCCAGAUGGACUGGUUUGAGUUUUUCAGAAACUGCUGAUCUCCUGGGGUUUUCACACACAACAGUCUCUAGAGUUUACACAAAAUGGUGCAAAAAACAAAACAGAGUGAGUGACAGUUCUGUGGGUGGAAACGUCUUGUUGAUAAGAGAGGUCGGAGGAAAAUGGCCACACUGGUUCGACCUGCCAGAAAGGAUAUAGCAACUCAUAUAAUCACUCUUUACAACCAUGGUGAGCAGAAAAGCACCUCAGCAUGCAACAGCAGAAGACCACAUUGGGUUCCACUCCUGCCAGCCAAGAACAGGAUUCUUAGAAUCAAGAACACCUUCCUAUUAAAGUGGCCGGUCAAUCCUUUGAUUGAGAUGCUGACCUCUUCUGCUCCUCAGACCUGCCUGAUCCAUCCUGAUGCCCUGUGUCUGGCUGGACUCUCAUCACAUCAUUCCUGUGGAGGACGGCCCCAUAUGGACAGAUGAAAGUCACACUUGGAAGAUGCUCUGGACACUUGCAGUAAUGCUUUUAUGGCUGAGGACUACAGUUGACUUGCUAACUUUAGGACUGCAGUUGUCAUGAACAGUUUUGCACUCAAGUUUCCUUCAAUGAAGAGUUAUAACAUCAAUGAAACAGACUUCGUGUUCAUUUCAUUUCAUUAUCUGUAGCCGCUUUAUCCUGUUCUACAGGGUCACAGGCAAGCUGGAGCCUAUCCCAGCUGACUACGGGCGAAAGGCGGGGUACACCCUGGACAAGUCGCCAGGUCAUCACAGGGCUGACAUAUAGACACAGACAACCAUUCACACUCACAUUCACACCUACGGUCAAUUUGGAGUCACCAGUUAACCUAACCUGCAUGUCUUUGGACUGUGGGGGAAACCGGAGCACCCGGAGGAAACCCAUGUGGACACGGGGAGAAAAUGCAAACUCCGCACAGAAAGGCCCUCGCCGGCCACGGGGCUCGAACCCGGACCUUCUUGCUGUGAGGCAACAGCGCUAACCACUACACCACCGUGCCGCCCAGACUUCAUGCUAAAACUGUUAAAAUGUUGUAAUCACAUUAUCACCCAAGUGAGGAUGGGGUCCCUUUUGAGUCUGGUUCCUCUCAAGGUUUCUUCCUCAUGUCGUCUGAGGGAAUUUUUCCUUGCCACCAUUGCCAUAGGCUUGCUCAUUGGGGAUAGAUUAGGGAUAAAAUUAGCUCAUGUUUAAAGUCAUUAAAAUUCUGUCACAAAGCAGCUUUGUGACAAUGUCUAUUGUUAAAAGCACUAUAAAAAUAAACUUGACUUGACACUUAUCAGCCACCUACAAUGCAGUCCUUGGCACACUUCCCAGACAACUGAAUACACACCCUCACCAAAACUCAGCUGACUUCAAUGACUCAGAGGAUGACAGAGAGAACCAAUGACCCACAGAUGACCCUAAUGACUCUCUAGGCUGCUAACACCCUUCACACCUGGCCCCCAGUGACCUACACCUACAGGAUGACUCAGCGACCCAGGUGACCUUACUGAAUCUCCUUUGGGUUGCUUUUGAUCCACUAGAGCAGGGAUUUUCAAAGUGUGGGGCGCGCCUCCCCUGGGGGGCGCCAGAGUUCUUCAGGGGGGGCGCAACGUGAGGAAACAUAAGCCAGAAUAAGUUACUAUUGCAGACAUUUCGCGAACUUCAGCUAGCCUUUGCCAGAGACAAAAUGGAUCGAUUUUUAGUACCUAAAGCUACAGUGAGUGAGGAGACAGAGUCUGGGCCAAGCAAAAAACCAGACCCUCCAGGAUUUCGCGAUGUUACGAUUCAACCAAUCCCCGCGAAUUCAGGGCGGUGUUGCAAUUAUAUCCAAUCACCGCAACCUUCCCGCAAAUUUGACCAAUCGUUGGCGUCGUCGAGGUGACGUCGACAAACUAACUUCCGCCUUACUUCCGUGUAUACGUUCAAGAGAAGCAGCAUGCGCGCAGUGUUGCCAGACUGAGCGGUUUUAAGUGCAUUUUGGCAGAUUUUGAACAUAUUUUGGACUGGAAAACGUCAGCAGUAUCUGGCAACAUUGCAUGUGCGAGACAAUGUUUAUAUAGGCUUAAAUUCUGUUACUGAAAGUGUGUUAUGUUUACAGUGAAGGACUGUGUGCACUUUACAUUAUUUUUUUACUUAAUA
Molecule: RNA transcript, 4094 nt
Organism: Neoarius graeffei (lesser salmon catfish)
Lineage: Eukaryota; Metazoa; Chordata; Actinopteri; Siluriformes; Ariidae
Gene name: sulfotransferase 2B1-like
Exons: 7
Source: RefSeq, a predicted model, not a curated record